Molecule: ribosomal RNA, 254 nt
Filed under: uncultured Armatimonadota bacterium
Lineage: Bacteria; Bacillati; Armatimonadota
Description: uncultured Armatimonadetes bacterium partial 16S ribosomal RNA
Rfam family: Bacterial small subunit ribosomal RNA
Source: RNAcentral
CUAGCCGUAAACGAUGGAUACUAGGUGUUAGAGGUAUCGACCCCUCUAGUGCCGAAGCUAACGCAUUAAGUAUCCCGCCUGGGGAGUACGGCCGCAAGGCUGAAACUCAAAGGAAUUGACGGGGGCCCGCACAAGCGGUGGAGCAUGUGGUUUAAUACGUCAUUAACCGUAGAACCUUACCUAGGCUUGACAUCCGUUGAAAGUGCCUGAAAGGGUAACCCUUCUGUAGUAAUACAGAACUGCGAGACAGGUGU